This 520-nucleotide ribosomal RNA is filed under the name uncultured Glomus. Its description in RNAcentral is "SSU rRNA". It matches the Rfam family "Eukaryotic small subunit ribosomal RNA", at positions 569 to 1089 of the family's 1831-position model. The record is from RNAcentral. Lineage: Eukaryota; Fungi; Glomeromycota; Glomeromycetes; Glomerales; Glomeraceae.
AGCAGCCGCGGUAAUUCCAGCUCCAAUAGCGUAUAUUAAAGUUGUUGCAGUUAAAAAGCUCGUAGUUGAAUUUCGGGAUCAAUUAAUUGGUCGUGCCUCUGGUACGUACUGAUUUUAUUGGUUUCUCCCUUCUGACGAACCAUGAUGUCAUUAAUUUGGUGUCGUGGAGAAUCAGGACUGUUACUUUGAAAAAUUAGAGUGUUUAAAGCAAGCUAACGCUUGAAUACAUUAGCAUGGAAUAAUGAAAUAGGACGUUUGAUCCUAUUUUGUUGGUUUCUAGGAUCGACGUAAUGAUUAAUAGGGAUAGUUGGGGGCAUUAGUAUUCAAUUGUCAGAGGUGAAAUUCUUGGAUUUAUUGAAGACUAACUACUGCGAAAGCAUUUGCCAAGGAUGUUUUCAUUAAUCAAGAACGAAAGUUAGGGGAUCGAAGACGAUCAGAUACCGUCGUAGUCUUAACCAUAAACUAUGCCGACUAGGGAUCGGAUGAUGUUAAUUUUUAAUGUACUCAUUCGGCGUACCCG